RNAcentral lists this ribosomal RNA (486 nucleotides) under uncultured bacterium. Its description in RNAcentral is "partial 16S ribosomal RNA". It matches the Rfam family "Bacterial small subunit ribosomal RNA", at positions 29 to 507 of the family's 1533-position model. The record is from RNAcentral.
ACGAACGCUGGCGGCGUGCUUCACACAUGCAAGUCGCACGGGCUCUGUCUGGCUGUGUGCUGGGUGGGGUUAGUGGCGAACGGGUGAGUAAUACGUGAGUAACCUGCCCUCUUCUUUGGGAUAAGCCUUGGAAACGGGGUCUAAUACUGGAUAUUCCUGUCUGGUCGCAUGGCUGGGUGGGGAAAGUUUUUUUCGGUGGGGGAUGGGCUCGCGGCCUAUCAGCUUGUUGGUGGGGUGAUGGCCUACCAAGGCGUCGACGGGUAGCCGGCCUGAGAGGGUGACCGGCCACACUGGGACUGGGAUACGGCCCAGACUCCUACGGGAGGCAGCAGUGGGGGAUAUUGCGCAAUGGGCGCAAGCCUGAUGCAGCGACGCCGCGUGGGGGAUGACGGCUUUCGGGUUGUAAACCUCUUUCGUCGGGGGACAAGGCUCUGCUUGGUGGUGGGGUUGAGGGUACCCGGUGAAGAAGCGCCGGCUAACUACGUG